AACGACUUCUGCCCAUCGCUGACGCUGGGACCAGGUGAUGUGGCGUUUCCUCGGCAUGACUUCCCCAUGCACAGGCUGAUCCAGGAGAUGUACGAGGCCAAACCUGGAGAGUUCAAAGCCACUGUGGUGCCUUGGCGCAGUGGAGAGGAAAUCAUCAACAAGCUCAGGAAAGUCGUGGAAGAACAGGUUUAACUAUGGCUGAAAUACAUAAACAAGGACAUAAAUAAAAACAAAUUCUCAGCACAGUUACUUUUAAUAAUCAUGAUGCAUGGAGAUACACCAACAAGGAGAUGAUAUGUUAGUGGGAGCUGCUGUUAUACUUGCACAAAACCAAGGUUGUCUUUUCAGUUUCUGUAGCAGAAAUUCAUACUUAUAAAAUUGUAUGAACGUCAAUGUAUGAAGAGAUGGAAAAAGUUGUCUGAAAGAACUCAUGGCUUAUGUGAAAUAUGGUCAGAACCUAUGUUUCACGCAUAAAGAAGAUUUCUCAAUGGUUUUUAAAUAUUUAAACUGAUUCCACUUCCAUAAACACUCUUAAAAACACUUUUAGAGUUCUACAUACAACCUUUAUGGUUUUCCCUGGAUCAACAAACUGAAACAACCAGUAUGUUCUAGUAUAGAAGAAUUUCCUUUGGGGGCGAGCGAAGACUGAGUGUGAGAAUUAUGUGUAAGCAAUAAUGAAGACAAUAUUUUUAAUGAGUUUGUUUUAAAUUGGCAAUUUAGUAUUUAAAAUAGCUUCACUAAUUUGUAUUCUUUUCUAUUUGCCUAUAAAUUGCUUGUCAGCACAUCAUCUGGGGUAAAUGUCCCUGGUUUGCUAUUCAGGUGAAAUAUGUAUGCUAUUAGUGAUGUAAAUCAUUUGCUUAAAACCAGUACUGAAAUAAUUUUGUCUCUGAGUCUCCAUUUACCUGACUUGCACCAUGGUCUAGGGCCAUGGUUCCUAGUUCAAGUGAAUGUAUGAGUUUCUUCUAGGUACACUCUUUUCACCCAUCUUCCAAGAAAAUGCUGGCAGGUGAAUGAUCUGCUCUAAAUGUGAAUGUGUGUCUGUGUUGUGUCUUGUGAUGGACUGGUGUCCCAUCCAGUAUGUAUUCCUGCCUUGCACCCAGUGUUCCCACAAUAGGCUCAGGAUCCCAGGAUCAGGAUAAAGUGGUUACUGAAAAUAAAUUAAUGUUGGGGUGAAGAAGGUGGAAGGAAUUAAAAAACAAAGGUUGCAGGGAGCCUGGAGGCUGUCCCAGGGGACUCGGGACAGAAGGUGGAGGACACCCUGGACAGGGUGGCAACACCUCACAGUGCACACUCAUACAUAUUCACACACUAUGGACAAUUUAGAGAUGCCAGUCAGUCUACAACAUGUCUUUGGACUGGGGAGGAAACCAGAGUAAUCAGAAUCAAAUCCCCAACAGAAAGGUGUGAGGGAAAUGUGCAAACCACUAAGCCACUAUGCCCCCAUAAAUACUAACAUUAAUAGAGUAAUAUAAGUGGCUGUGAUGUUCACAGGUUUCCAUAAGAAAUACAGUAUAAAUACAGUACACACUAUUACAAACACCCAGAAAGAGGAUGUCUAAUUGUUCUCGGAAGAUAAUCUUGAAGCUCAGGGAAAGUAGAUUAAAGAUUGUAAAUCUACAAAAUGACGCAAAUCUGUAUGUAACAUUUUAGCUUAACCUCCACCCACCACAUUUGUAGCAUAUGUGUGAUUACCACAGACAAAAAUUUCUUGUUUCUAUUUCUGUUGUUACAAUGUAAUAAGAAAAGAACAGAAAGUUUGUUGAAGUUUCAAGUUAACAGGCUUUCUGUUGUUUUCUCAGUACAAUUAAACUUUUUUAAUUAUCUGUGGUCGUCAGCAGUUAAUUUAUAUUCAUAAUCUGCUUGUAAUGUAUAGACAAUUUAGG
Ictalurus punctatus (channel catfish) is the source of this 1883-nucleotide long non-coding RNA. NCBI's taxonomy places the organism in Eukaryota, Metazoa, Chordata, Actinopteri, Siluriformes, Ictaluridae. The record is from Ensembl.